CGGACGGGUGAGUAAUGCCUAGGAAUCUGCCUGGUAGUGGGGGAUAACGUUCCGAAAGGAACGCUAAUACCGCAUACGUCCUACGGGAGAAAGCAGGGGACCUUCGGGCCUUGCGCUAUCAGAUGAGCCUAGGUCGGAUUAGCUAGUUGGUGAGGUAAUGGCUCACCAAGGCGACGAUCCGUAACUGGUCUGAGAGGAUGAUCAGUCACACUGGAACUGAGACACGGUCCAGACUCCUACGGGAGGCAGCAGUGGGGAAUAUUGGACAAUGGGCGAAAGCCUGAUCCAGCCAUGCCGCGUGUGUGAAGAAGGUCUUCGGAUUGUAAAGCACUUUAAGUUGGGAGGAAGGGUUGUAGAUUAAUACUCUGCAGUUUUGACGUUACCGACAGAAUAAGCACCGGCUAACUUCGUGCCAGCAGCCGCGGUAAUACGAAGGGUGCAAGCGUUAAUCGGAAUUACUGGGCGUAAAGCGCGCGUAGGUGGUUCGUUAAGUUGGAUGUG
RNAcentral lists this ribosomal RNA (501 nucleotides) under Pseudomonas sp. WH022. RNAcentral describes it as "bacterial SSU rRNA". It matches the Rfam family "Bacterial small subunit ribosomal RNA", at positions 99 to 596 of the family's 1533-position model. The record is from RNAcentral. Lineage: Bacteria; Pseudomonadati; Pseudomonadota; Gammaproteobacteria; Pseudomonadales; Pseudomonadaceae.